GAUGAAGAACGUAGCGAAAUGCGAUAAGUAAUGUGAAUUGCAGAAUCCCGUGAACCAUCGAGUCUUUGAACGCAAGUUGCGCCCGAAGCCACUAGGCCGAGGGCACGCCUGCCUGGGCGUCACACGCCGUUGCCCCCCCAUCUACUCCUUCGGGAUUGCGGGGGGGCGGAUGAUGGCCUCCUGUGCGCCUAGCCGCGCGGUUGGCAUAAAUACCAAGUCCUCGGCGACGCACGCCACGACAAUCGGUGGUUGCGAAACCUCGGUUGCCCGUCGUGUGCGUUCGUCGCGCAUCGAGGGCUCGAAAAAAUGCUCGGCUCCGGCUGGGCUUUCAACGCGACCCCAGGUCAGGCGGGGUUACCCGCUGAAUUUAAGCAUAUCAAUAAGCGGAGGA
RNAcentral lists this unclassified non-coding RNA (391 nucleotides) under soil metagenome. RNAcentral's name for it is "partial contains 5.8S ribosomal RNA, internal transcribed spacer 2, and large subunit ribosomal RNA". The stretch from base 1 to 122 matches the Rfam family "5.8S ribosomal RNA", at positions 35 to 154 of the family's 154-position model. The record is from RNAcentral.